Molecule: long non-coding RNA, 456 nt
Organism: Passer domesticus (house sparrow)
Lineage: Eukaryota; Metazoa; Chordata; Aves; Passeriformes; Passeridae
Exons: 3
Source: RefSeq, a predicted model, not a curated record
UCCUCGAGUUGCUGGACUUGAGUGAACAUGGUGCUAACAGACUCCAGCAAAUCUUGUCAAGGCAGCUGCGGAGCAAGUGCAGGGAGAGGCGUCGCCUGGCACUCAGGGUCCUUUUUGAGAUCACUGACGAUCCCUCAAUGAACGAGAAAAUGUGGAGCCUGACUGAAAGUCUUGUGGAGCUCCUGUGGGACGCAAAUGGAGAGAUAGUCAGCAUGACAGUCAUGCUACUCAGCUUUAUCAUCUUGGACAAUGACAUGCUGAUACCCAGCCCCAUGGCACUGCAGCUGGUUGAGGCGCUCCUGCCACUCUUUGACCACGAGAAUAGCCAGGUGCAGCUGCUCUCCAUACUGCUCUUCCGAACAUUGGUGACUCUUCCACAGGAAAAGGAAAAAAAGGCCCUGAAGACACACCUGCACCAGAGCCUGCUGCCACUCUUCUUCCACUGCCAAAAUGAGA